This is a long non-coding RNA of Onychostoma macrolepis, 859 nucleotides long. RefSeq lists it as uncharacterized. The transcript has 3 exons. NCBI's taxonomy places the organism in Eukaryota, Metazoa, Chordata, Actinopteri, Cypriniformes, Cyprinidae. The record is from RefSeq and is a predicted model, not a curated record.
CAGCCGUGGGAUAAGCACGCAUCACCCAGCAUUCUCAGACAAGUGUCUUCUACUGUGACUGAAACGGGCUCCCCAGUCUUAAGAAAGUGAAGAUGAUGGCACGGCUCUGAGGCUCACACCUGCAAGAAGGUCUGCAGUCCAGAUGUGGCGGGUAUGAGUCAUUCAGAGCCUUGGCAUUGGCUACACUGCUGGACCCAAGAUUCAAAAUUGUGGCUUUUGGAAAUCCUGCCAAAGGCCAGGAGGCUGAAAAGCACCUCACACUGGAGUGUGCUUCGUUGAUGCGUUCAAACCCACCAACUCAUAGCCACAAUGGUCAGCAUCAGGUCUAUCAUCAUCAUCAAGAACACCAGCAGAAAGCCAGGUGAAUCCCACACUACACACAAUGCUACAGCUGAUGCCACAGUGGAAGUAAAAAAGUACCUCACAGAUGCAUUUCUGCCCAGAAUGGAAGAUCCCCUAAAGUGCUGGAAGGAGAGAGCAGUCAUUUUUCCUAAUCUGUACAUUCUAGCUAAAAAGUAUCUGUGCAUGCCAGCGAUAAGUGUCCCUUGUGAGAGGAUUUUUUCAAAGGCUGGAGAAAUUCUAUGUAAAAAAAGAAGUAUGCUAAGUCCAUCAACAGCAGAACAAUUAAUAUUUUUAAAUAAAAAUCUUUAUAUGUAAAAAAGUGGCUUGAUGUACUUUGUCUAUUUUUCAUUACCAAAAUAACACUUAUUUAUUCACAAAGAGUUCAUUCAGAUGUCAGACCGAUGUUUCAACACAUAACAAGAACAGAACAAUAAAAACACACAUUUUAAUUGUUUAUUAUAAUUUUGUAAAGAUGACUGCUUCAACCAGGAUUCGAACCCAAAGAGACAGCAUUCCA